GUAAUAUAAUAACCCGUCUCUUAACUUUUAACUACAAAAGCUAAGAACCGGUUUUUUAAGAACCGGUUCUUAGCUUUUGUAGUUAAAAGUUAAGACACAUUUUAUUAUAUUAC
MicroRNA precursor from Brassica oleracea var. oleracea, 113 nucleotides. It matches the Rfam family "MIR9563 microRNA precursor family". NCBI's taxonomy places the organism in Eukaryota, Viridiplantae, Streptophyta, Magnoliopsida, Brassicales, Brassicaceae. The record is from Rfam.